GCUGGGAUGGCCGAGUGGUUCAGGCAGCGGACUCAUAGCCCGCCCGACGUGGGUUCGAUCCCCACUCCCAGUA
Molecule: transfer RNA, 73 nt
Filed under: Plesiocystis pacifica
Lineage: Bacteria; Pseudomonadati; Myxococcota; Nannocystales; Nannocystaceae
Also listed under: 1 other name
Description: tRNA-Ile
Rfam family: tRNA
About the family: Transfer RNA (tRNA) molecules are approximately 80 nucleotides in length. Their secondary structure includes four short double-helical elements and three loops (D, anti-codon, and T loops). Further hydrogen bonds mediate the characteristic L-shaped molecular structure. tRNAs have two regions of fundamental functional importance: the anti-codon, which is responsible for specific mRNA codon recognition, and the 3' end, to which the tRNAs corresponding amino acid is attached (by aminoacyl-tRNA synthetases). tRNAs cope with the degeneracy of the genetic code in two manners: having more than one tRNA (with a specific anti-codon) for a particular amino acid; and 'wobble' base-pairing, i.e. permitting non-standard base-pairing at the 3rd anti-codon position.
Source: RNAcentral